RNAcentral lists this transfer RNA (71 nucleotides) under Stegodyphus mimosarum. It matches the Rfam family "tRNA". Rfam says of the family: Transfer RNA (tRNA) molecules are approximately 80 nucleotides in length. Their secondary structure includes four short double-helical elements and three loops (D, anti-codon, and T loops). Lineage: Eukaryota; Metazoa; Arthropoda; Arachnida; Araneae; Eresidae. The record is from Rfam by way of RNAcentral.
GCCUUUGUGGUGUAACGGUAGCACACUUCGCUCAUAUUCCAGAUAUCCGGGUUCAAGUUCCGGUGAGGGCA